RNAcentral lists this long non-coding RNA (1167 nucleotides) under Helianthus annuus (common sunflower). RNAcentral's name for it is "hypothetical non coding rna". The record is from RNAcentral. Lineage: Eukaryota; Viridiplantae; Streptophyta; Magnoliopsida; Asterales; Asteraceae.
GUGAGAUGCGAAGAAGUUGAAAAAAAAAGCCAACGCCAUGUUGAUUAAGUCUUCAAAUUUAUGUUCCCCACUUGAUUAUAAAAUAUAUUAUGUAUGUAUUUCUUAUUACCCUAUAAUUUCCGUACUACAACUUAUACUAUUAUUUACUCUAGUAAAAUAAUUUGUUGGUUCUAAUUUCUAAAUAAGGAUCUAAUGCUUUUGAAGAAAAGUUUGAAUCUGACUUUGUAUUAUUAUUAUUUUUUUCUGAUAAUCUAUACCCGUUUUAUACAGUAAGUAAGCCUUGGAUUGGGUUACACUAUUGCUAUGAACAAUAAUUAAAAAUCAACAUUUUUUAUUACGGAAAAGAAAAAAAAGUAUGAAGGGAGAAAGAGUUACAGGAAUGGCUUGGAAGAAGAGGGACCUCUUGAUUUGGAUAAUAAGGAUUAUUAUAUUAUUGUUACACCUACAUGAAUGAAUAUAUAUAGAUUAUUAUCCGGUUAAUUAGAAAAGGUAUACCUUUGUGGUGUAAUCUUGGUUAGGCAAAUGAUUUAUCUAAUUUAGUAAAAGCCAAUAAUUUAUAAAGUUAGUUUACCAUUUAAUUAAGUUUUUUAAAUAAGUCUGCUGGCAUUAUUACAUGCCAUACGAUUUUAAAGAAAAUUUAGACAAUUAUCAAGACACUCGUAUAAACUAGUAUUUUAAGUCCAUGAAUUAGAUAUGUAUUAAAGUUCAUAAAGUUGAUACGGCUAUAAUAAAUUGUAGGUUUCCAUGUUUGUUAAGGACUAGUUAAUUUGUUUUGCUUUUGCUUGGCUUCACUAAACUAAGGUACGGAUUCUGUUUCUUUCCAUCGUAGUAUACUUUUAUAUUUUCGUUACUCACUGGUACGAAUUCUUUGGUCUUGCUAUCAUAGUAUUUUUUCUAUGUCCGUUACUUUACUAUAUGGUACACCGUACCACGUACCGAGUUGGCGUUCUGAAUGAACCUACCCCCCUUGUACCGGAUUUUAGAAAUGGACGAACCGCGUACCGGAACGUAUCCCGAUCCAUGUGACUAUGGUUAAAAGUUUGCUUUCUGCUUUAUUCUAGCCCCAUUGAAGGGAUGUUUUCAUGUUAUUAAUAACCUCUUCCUCGUGGAAUUACAUAGACACGUGAAUACGUUUUCCCAAAAUAAAAAUAUAAAGAAACAUACUCU